AUUAGCUAGUUGGUGGGGUAAUGGCCUACCAAGGCGACGAUGGUUAGCUGGUCUGAGAGGAUGAUCAGCCACACUGGAACUGGAACACGGUCCAGACUCCUACGGGAGGCAGCAGUGGGGAAUUUUCCGCAAUGGGCGAAAGCCUGACGGAGCAACGCCGCGUGAGGGAUGAAGGCCUCUGGGCUGUAAACCUCUUUUCUCAAGGAAGAAGAUCUGACGGUACUUGAGGAAUAAGCCACGGCUAAUUCCGUGCUAGCAGCCGCGGUAAUACGGGAGUGGCAAGCGUUAUCCGGAAUUAUUGGGCGUAAAGCGUCCGCAGGCGGCCCUUCAAGUCUGCUGUUAAAAAGUGGAGCUUAACUCCAUCAUGGCAGUGGAAACUGUUGGGCUUGAGUGUGGUAGGGGCAGAGGGAAUUCCCGGUGUAGCGGUGAAAUGCGUAGAUAUCGGGAAGAACACCAGUGGCGAAGGCGCUCUGCUGGGCCAUAACUGACGCUCAUGGACGAAAGCCAGGGGAGCGAAAGGGAUUAGAUACCCCUGUAGUCCUGGCCGUAAACGAUGAACACUAGAUGCCGG
This 571-nucleotide ribosomal RNA is filed under the name uncultured sulfate-reducing bacterium. Its description in RNAcentral is "bacterial SSU rRNA". It matches the Rfam family "Bacterial small subunit ribosomal RNA", at positions 240 to 826 of the family's 1533-position model. The record is from RNAcentral.